GUGAAGGAGAAAGGGUAAGCAGCCCUUUGACAAGGAUGGAAGAGGCAGCACACAUAUACAACACACCGUCGCCUGUGUAGUGGCAUCUAAAUUUUUUAAAAUUUUUU
This 107-nucleotide non-coding RNA is filed under the name Suricata suricatta (meerkat). Lineage: Eukaryota; Metazoa; Chordata; Mammalia; Carnivora; Herpestidae. The record is from RNAcentral.